This 497-nucleotide ribosomal RNA is filed under the name uncultured bacterium. Its description in RNAcentral is "partial 16S ribosomal RNA". It matches the Rfam family "Bacterial small subunit ribosomal RNA", at positions 28 to 507 of the family's 1533-position model. The record is from RNAcentral.
GAUGAACGUUGGCGGCGUGCCUAAUACAUGCAAGUCGAGCGAACAGACGAGGAGCUUGCUCCUUCGACGUUAGCGGCGGACGGGUGAGUAACACGUAGGUAACCUACCUAUAAGACUGGGAUAACUUCGGGAAACCGGAGCUAAUACCGGAUAAUAUUUCGAACCGCAUGGUUCGAUAGUGAAAGAUGGCUUUGCUAUCACUUAUAGAUGGACCUGCGCCGUAUUAGCUAGUUGGUAAGGUAACGGCUUACCAAGGCAACGAUACGUAGCCGACCUGAGAGGGUGAUCGGCCACACUGGAACUGAGACACGGUCCAGACUCCUACGGGAGGCAGCAGUAGGGAAUCUUCCGCAAUGGGCGAAAGCCUGACGGAGCAACGCCGCGUGAGUGAUGAAGGUCUUCGGAUCGUAAAACUCUGUUAUUAGGGAAGAACAAACGUGUAAGUAACUGUGCACGUCUUGACGGUACCUAAUCAGAAAGCCACGGCUAACUACGUG